This 754-nucleotide long non-coding RNA is filed under the name Homo sapiens (human). RNAcentral describes it as "HSALNT0045908". The record is from RNAcentral. Lineage: Eukaryota; Metazoa; Chordata; Mammalia; Primates; Hominidae.
GAAACAGGAAUGGGACUGGAGGAGGGGUGGGGGUGGGGUGCAGCUCUCAGUGAAUUAGGUCUUUUCUAUAGAUUCCAUAAGACUACAUAAUGAGCCGCUUUUUCUGCCUCCUGGUCGCUCAGCUACUGCUCUGACCUCCCAGGGGCCAGAGGAGGGGGUCAACCCUCCCUGUUAAACGUGCUCUGCCUUUGGUUACCUGGUGUUGCUCUGGGAGGAAGACCAGCUUCGGGAGCAGGCUGUUGGGGUCUGCUGCAGAGGGUGGAAUACGUGCAGCCCAGCCGUCCUGCCUACCACACCCCUGGCAAGGAGCUGCACCUCGCUGAGCUCAGUUCCCCCAUCUGUAAAGGAGACCAGAAUAAUCCCAGCCUCACGAGGCCAUUGCCAGGACUGAGGGAAACUAUGCUAAUGACUGCCUAGGGUCAACUGAGUAAAGCACUCAGUUGAGGACAACCAUUAUGAUUUUUCUGAUUUCUGGCCAAGGACCCAGCACAGCCUACACCUGAAGCAUGCGACUAAGAGUGUGACCCCGGUUCUAUCUUGAAGCACACAAGAGAAGUUCUUAACUAGGGACAAGGUUACGAGGUGGACUUGCCUCCCCCAGCUCUCUCAUCCCACCGGACCCCUCAUUGGAAGCUGGUCGCUCCUUCAGAUGCCUGUGGAUGGAUGAAGCUGCAGCGUGUGCCUUGCAUAAGGGGAUGUGGUUUCUGGGGAGCUGUACUGAGGGUGUUUUGACAGGGUAAGGAUGAAGAAAUCG